AGCUACAAAUCUUUGCAAAAGACAUAAAGGCAUAUAAUAUAUUUGCCUUUAUUAGUCGAGGCAUAGUGUUUAAAACCAGGGAGGUUAUGCUGGAACUGUAGAAAAUGUUGGUUGAUCACACCCAGAGUAUCGUGCAAAGUUCUGGUAUCCACAUUAAGUGCAGAAGAGAUUUACCAGGAUGUUGCCUGGAUUGGAGAAUUUGUUGUGAAGAGAGAUUGGAUAGGUUGGGAUUGUUUUAUUUACAGCAGAGGAGAUUGACAAGGAACAUUAUUGAGAUGUAUUACAUUGAGUGCAUAGAUACGGUCAACAGGGAGAAAGUCUUCCCCUUGAUGGAGGGAUCUAGGGGCAUGGAUUUAAGAUAAGGGGUGGACAGUUUAGAGGAGAGAUGUGAGGAAAAUCUUUUACACCCAGAGGGUGGUUGAAUCUGAAACUCACUGCCUGAAAGGGUGGUAGAGGUAGAAACACUCAUAACAUUUAAGAAGUAUUUAGAUGCCAAGGCAGAGAAGGCUAUGGGCCAAGUGUUGGAAAAUGGGAUAAAAAUAGUUAAAAACCAAACGAACUGCAGACGCUGCAAAUCAGAAAUUGCUGGAAAAGCUCAGCAGGUCUGGCAGCAUCUGUGAAGAGAAAUCAGAGUUAAUGUUUCAGGUUUCCUCAGAACUGUUCUGAGGAAGGGUCACCGGACCCGAAACGUUAACUCUGAUUUCUCUUCACAGAUGCUGCCAAACCUGAGAUUUUCCAGCAAUUUUGGAUUAAAAUAGUUGUUUUUGACCAGUGUGAACACAAUGGACCUUUCUCUGUGCUGUAGUUCUCUGUAACUCAAUGACCAUUUUCUAGGACAUCCGAUUUCCUGAUAAUUCUUUGCCCCACACUCACGCUGACCCUGGAAUUCUAUACUGUUCCAGUGAAGCAUAACAUAAGCUCGAGGAUCAGUACCUCAUUUGUUAAUGAGAUGCUUCGGAGCUUGCCAGAGUCAACAUUGAGUUAGAUCAUAACCUCCCUGCCCCCCAAAUUUUUCAAAAGCUUUUGGAUCCAUUAAUUGUCCAUUUAUUUACAUCUCUGCAAGAUGCAUCUUUCUGUUUCUUUCUAAUUACAUUACCAUCUCCCUUUUGCCUGGCACCACACUGUUAUUUGAGCUUGCCUUCUACCACACUAUCACAGACCUUCCCUUUUAAUUCCCUACCCAAGUCAGCUGUGCCGCCCCACUCCUCACUUUCCAUGCCUGUGCACUUGCCUCACUCCUGUAACAUGACUGUAUUUUUUCAGUUCUAGCAAUAUGUCAUUGACCUAAAACACUAAUUCUGUUUUUCUCUUUUUACAGGUGAAUGGAGGAGAUUUUGUGUGUUUCCUUUACUGGAGUAGAUAUUUGUUGCGAAGUGCUUAGUUCAAAGAAAAUCAGAAAUCCUUUUGAAAAUAUUAGGUCCCUUUUGUGAUGGUGUCAUUUUGCUAUUCCCUCUCUUCUUCGUACAAAUUAUUCAACAAUUCCAGGACCUGUUCCUUCCUUUUUAAUGAAAAGAAUGUUGCUAAUUUUUGACCCUUGUUUAUAUAUUAAUGGUUAGAAAUAUUGGUGGAAAAGGAUUGUAAGAUCUUACUGGUGAGAAAAUCUGCCAUUUCCUCUGAGUUUUCAUUUCUUUAAAUAGAAACCUUACUCCUGCCGCCUGUUCUUACCUCCUCCCCUUCUUCUCUCUCUCUCUCUCUCUUCCCACCACUCCCCCCCGCUCCCCCACCACCAAAAAAAAACAAUCUUCCCUUGUCACAUGUCAAUCUCUCGUCAACCAGUUGCUACUUUUCCGUUGAGAAUAUGAUCUUUUAUUUUGGGAAUCCAUGACACCUUACCAGUCUGGAACAAUUCAUUGUUUUGUGCAGAGAAAUAAUACAAACAGAUUUUUCUGCUAAUAGGGACAUAGAUUAUAAAAGCAAGGAAAUAAUGUUGCAUUUGUAUAGACAUUGGUCUGGCCUCAUUGAUGUAGUGUCUCUAGUUAUGAGUGCUACAUUUUGAGAGCUAUAUUUUAAGAAGGCUAUGAAGGCAUUGGCAUGUGCGUAUAAAGAUUCACAAGAAUAGUUUCAGGGAUGGGAAUCUUCAAUUACACAGAUUGGAGAAACUGUGACUAUUUUAAUUGGAGAAGGGAGUGUUGAAAAGAAAUUUGAUAAAGGUGUUCAAAAUCAUGAGUGGCCUGGACAGAAUGGAAAGGAAAAAAACUGUUCCCAUAGAUGGGAGGACCAAGAACAAGAUUUCGGAUAAUUAGCAAAAGGUACAGUGACAACGUAAGACAGCAAUUGGUUAAGAUCUGCAUUGUACCACCUCAGAAUGAUUGGGGCCAAUUCAAUCAAGACGUUCAAGAGGAACUAGGUUGUUAUUGGAAAAGAAAAAUUGUUCAGGGAUACUGUGAGAAAGUGGGCAUAUGGCACUUGGUGAAUUGCUCUUACGGAUAGCCAGCACAGAUAGGAAUGGUGAAACAGUUUGCUCCUGUGCUUUAACAGUUCUGAGAUUCUGGAAUUGCUGUUGCUAAUAAUUCAGUGCUCACAACAUUUUGGUAACUGAAGGAGUUUCUUUAUUGUCUGGUAAAGCUUGUUGUCCAAUUUGGAUGGGAACCUUCCUGCUACUUUAAUACAAUUCCAUUUUGUCACGCCUGCAAACUGAAGAAGUUUAAAACUGAAAUGAACAGAGUGCAGUAAAUCAAAUAAAUUGAACAAAUUGUUAAAGAAAGGGUUAAUUUGUAAGGAAGGCAGAUAGUUUAAUUCUACAAUGGUUUUGAUUAUUUAUCAAGAAUCAAUUCACCAACACAGUCAUGCAAUACACUAUGACCAUUACUUUUCAAUAGAAAACCUUGGAGAAGAUCUUUCUGUAAUACCUUACGUUUUUUCUCGUCAUUUUAAAAUCUAUGCUAUGUAUCUUAAGUUUACAUUUUUGAGUGAAUGUUUUAAAUGGGAAAGUGGUCUGUUUAGCAACUUAAGAAUUUCUAUUUAUUUUUACAGAACGUGUCUUUGAAGAGAAUUAAUUUGCAGGGUUAUGAUGAGGGUACGAGACAAAAUUAUACACUUCUUUCAAGAAGGCAGAGCGAAAGCUUUGAUGUCUGGAGUGUGGCGAUGGCAGGUGAGCCCGUAGCAAGACCUGGAAGACGGUAGCGAAGCGGCUGGUGAGCCAGGAGCGGGAUCUCAAGGAUGGCGGCAAGGCAAGGCAGUCGGCCAUCACGGAGUGGGACUCUGAUGGACAAUGGCGACAUUGAGUCCAGAGUGGGACUCUGGAAUCAGCGUCGAAGAGGCAGCUGGUGGAAGGGUGAGCACGGGGACCCGGUAUCGGCUGCUACAUUGGCAGAGACCGACGGCUUCGAUGUUGAGGUGAUUUCAGCCUGGCAUCUGGCGGCCCAGGAAUCCUUUGAGCCGCUUUUGCGACAUCUUCCUUCCUGGGAUCAGUGACGAGAUUGGUCUUUGACGCAGCUUCUGUGGACUCUUUCGGAAGGGGAUUCCGGCAGCCUGGUGUGGCGGUCUUAAAGUGGUACUGUCUUUUCCUGACCCCGGGAGCUGGGAAUUGAACUAAGAUGGACUUUGUCUUAAUUUUUUUUAAUAAAAAUUUUCUUAUCUAUG
This is a long non-coding RNA of Rhincodon typus (whale shark), 3582 nucleotides long. RefSeq lists it as uncharacterized. The record is from RefSeq and is a predicted model, not a curated record. Lineage: Eukaryota; Metazoa; Chordata; Chondrichthyes; Orectolobiformes; Rhincodontidae. The transcript is spliced from 2 exons.